AGGAUUAACGCUGGCGGCGUGCCUAACACAUGCAAGUCGAACGGACCUUUAUUUUUGAGAAUUCCGAUUUUAUCGAACGUCUCACAAAUAAUGGUUAGUGGCGGACGGGUGAGUAACACGUUGGUACCUGCCCUCUAGUGGGGGAUAACUGCCCGAAAGGGUGGCUAAUACCGCAUGUGAUCUACGGAUCAAAGCAGCAAUGCGCUAGAGGAGGGGCCUGCGGCUGAUUAGCUUGUUGGUAGGGUAAUGGCCUACCAAGGCGACGAUCAGUAGCUGGAUCGAGAGGUUGACCAGCCACACUGGGACUGAGAUACGGCCCAGACUCCUACGGGAGGCAGCAGUGAGGAUUUCACAAUGGACG
This 361-nucleotide ribosomal RNA is filed under the name uncultured bacterium. RNAcentral's name for it is "SSU rRNA". It matches the Rfam family "Bacterial small subunit ribosomal RNA", at positions 26 to 377 of the family's 1533-position model. The record is from RNAcentral.